RNAcentral lists this ribosomal RNA (351 nucleotides) under bacterium A03-11. Its description in RNAcentral is "bacterial SSU rRNA". It matches the Rfam family "Bacterial small subunit ribosomal RNA", at positions 136 to 482 of the family's 1533-position model. The record is from RNAcentral.
GUGGGGGAUAACGUAGGGAAACUUACGCUAAUACCGCAUACGACCUACGGGUGAAAGCGGGGGAUCGCAAGACCUCGCGCGAUUAGAUGAGCCGAUGUCCGAUUAGCUGGUUGGCGGGGUAAUGGCCCACCAAGGCGACGAUCGGUAGCUGGUCUGAGAGGAUGAUCAGCCACACUGGAACUGAGACACGGUCCAGACUCCUACGGGAGGCAGCAGUGGGGAAUAUUGGACAAUGGGCGCAAGCCUGAUCCAGCCAUGCCGCGUGGGUGAAGAAGGCCUUCGGGUUGUAAAGCCCUUUUGUCCGGAAAGAAAAGCACUGGAUUAAUACUUCGGUGUUCUGACGGUACCGGA